UUAGAUUUCCCAUGUCAUGGGUGGUAAGGGACAAACAAUUGGAGUGAUUGCUUAGGCACAACAGCCAAUAAAUAAGGGAAAAGGGACUAUUUUGGCUUUGAAAAGUUCUAAACAAAGACACUGUCACGGACUUCAGAGAAUGGAGGCGAGGCUUGGAUCCAAAUAUUAGUUCGAAGGAAUUUAUUAAAAGGUAGGCAACGCUUACUAGGAGAAUAUCCACUAUCCACAGAGCCGCCAACAGGACACUGGGGACAGAAGUCUCUGAGGCGCCGGGAACAGGCACAGUCUCUGGGACACGGCUCAGGGAGAACGGUCAACGUAGACUCUGGGAUUCUGCACGUCAGCUGAGAUUCUG
Long non-coding RNA from Perca flavescens (yellow perch), 355 nucleotides. RefSeq lists it as uncharacterized. NCBI's taxonomy places the organism in Eukaryota, Metazoa, Chordata, Actinopteri, Perciformes, Percidae. The transcript has 3 exons. The record is from RefSeq and is a predicted model, not a curated record.